ACCUCAGCUUAUCCUUUCACUUGAGGAGGUGAACGUCAUAUUUAGCAAAGGCUGACAAAUGGAACAGCAAUACUCCAUGAACUCCUUUCUUCUUCUUUUUUUUUUUUUUUCCUCCUCUUUUGUAUGGUACAGUAUCCUUGAAUUUCAUUCUGAUGUUAAUUUUUUUCUUUAUGAAUACUGAAAUGGCACUGCCACCCUUGCACUCUUUGUAUACACCCUGUCACUACUAAUAAGGCACAUCUGGAAGUAUCACGGUGUUCCAGCAGAAU
RNAcentral lists this long non-coding RNA (269 nucleotides) under Anser brachyrhynchus (Pink-footed goose). Its description in RNAcentral is "lncRNA (ENSABRG00000010859.1)". The record is from RNAcentral. Lineage: Eukaryota; Metazoa; Chordata; Aves; Anseriformes; Anatidae.